This 272-nucleotide ribosomal RNA is filed under the name Hymenobacter nivis. RNAcentral describes it as "partial 23S ribosomal RNA". It matches the Rfam family "Bacterial large subunit ribosomal RNA", at positions 1 to 277 of the family's 2925-position model. Lineage: Bacteria; Pseudomonadati; Bacteroidota; Cytophagia; Cytophagales; Hymenobacteraceae. The record is from RNAcentral.
AAGCGAAGUAAGCAAGAGCACACGGGGGAUGCCUAGGGUCUCAGAGGCGAAGAAGGACGCGAUAAGCUGCGAUAAGGCUUGGGGAGGGGCACAUACCCGUUGAUCCGAGCGUUUCCGAAUGGGGCAACCCCGCGACUGGAAGAGUCGUGAGCCGACUGGCUAGUCCAGCGGCGGCAAACGCAGGGAACUGAAACAUCUAAGUACCUGCAGGAAAAGAAAAUAACAAUGAUUCCCCAAGUAGUGGCGAGCGAACGGGGAGGAGCCCAAACCAC